AGAGUUUGAUCAUGGCUCAGAUUGAACGCUGGCGGCAGGCCUAACACAUGCAAGUCGGGCGGUAACAGGGAGAAGCUUGCUUCUCCGCUGACGAGCGGCGGACGGGUGAGUAAUGUAUGGGGAUCUGCCUGAUGGCGGGGGAUAACUACUGGAAACGGUAGCUAAUACCGCAUAAUGUCUACGGACCAAAGCGGGGGACCUCCGGGCCUCGCGCCAUCAGAUGAACCCAUAUGGGAUUAGCUUGUAGGUAAGGUAACGGCUUACCUAGGCGACGAUCCCUAGCUGGUCUGAGAGGAUGAUCAGCCACACUGGGACUGAGACACGGCCCAGACUCCUACGGGAGGCAGCAGUGGGGAAUAUUGCACAAUGGGCGCAAGCCUGAUGCAGCCAUGCCGCGUGUAUGAAGAAGGCCUUCGGGUUGUAAAGUACUUUCAGUCGGGAGGAAGGUGUCAAGGUUAAUAACCUUGGCAAUUGACGUUACCGACAGAAGAAGCACCGGCUAACUCCGUGCCAGCCGCCGCGGUAAUAC
RNAcentral lists this ribosomal RNA (529 nucleotides) under uncultured bacterium. RNAcentral describes it as "bacterial SSU rRNA". It matches the Rfam family "Bacterial small subunit ribosomal RNA", at positions 8 to 526 of the family's 1533-position model. The record is from RNAcentral.